Cucumis sativus (cucumber) is the source of this 546-nucleotide RNA transcript. RefSeq lists it as uncharacterized. The transcript is spliced from 3 exons. NCBI's taxonomy places the organism in Eukaryota, Viridiplantae, Streptophyta, Magnoliopsida, Cucurbitales, Cucurbitaceae. The record is from RefSeq and is a predicted model, not a curated record.
GAAUGGUUAUUUUAUCACAUCUAAGUAUAUGUGACUUGCUUUUAAGUAAGUGGAUAUGAAUGUGUGUUUGCUUUUUUGUUUCUUAGGAAGAGUUCGAUAUAUAUGUGACUGGCUCAUGGAAUUUUGUUAUUUGGUGCCAUACUGCAUUGGGAUAUGAAUCUUCUUGCAAUCAAAUAAUUGUCGAAGUACUGCGGUUUUCCAAAAUAUGGACAGCUUUGUCAUACACAUGGGAUAAUGCUGGGCACUUCAUUCAAGUAAGACGCUAUAGACCUACAUUGCCGCAAAUCAACAAUGAAUGGUUCAACUGGAGUCGACAACUUCAUGAGUUUUCUUUCAAAGAACAUUUCCAGAGACGAACAUUCUCGGUUGGUCGUUUAUGCUUCUGCAGUAAAUCUUGUUAGAUGUAUUCUAAUGCUAUUUAAAAUAUUUUUUGAUUAAGGGCUAGGAUUCCGUACAUGUGGAUUAUUGAAACUUGUAUUGAGAUGUACAAAUAUUAUAAAUCGUAUUAUAGUGUAUAUAUAUUAAAGUGUUGGUUAUUUUUUUGUA